RNAcentral lists this ribosomal RNA (605 nucleotides) under uncultured bacterium. RNAcentral's name for it is "bacterial SSU rRNA". It matches the Rfam family "Bacterial small subunit ribosomal RNA", at positions 888 to 1498 of the family's 1533-position model. The record is from RNAcentral.
GCAAGAUUAAAACUCAAAGGAAUAGACGGGGACCCGCACAAGUGGUGGAGCAUGUGGUUUAAUUCGAAGAUACGCGAAGAACCUUACCUAGCCUUGACAUUGAUAGAAUCUUCCAGAGAUGGAGGAGUGCCUUUAGGGGAACUUGAAAACAGGUGCUGCACGGCUGUCGUCAGCUCGUGUCGUGAGAUGUUGGGUUAAGUCCCGCAACGAGCGCAACCCUCGUCACUAGUUACUAACAGUUAGGCUGAGGACUCCAGUGAGACUGCCUUCGUAAGGAGGAGGAAGGUGAGGACGACGUCAAGUCAUCAUGGCCCUUACGGCUAGGGCAACACACGUGCUACAAUGGUUAGGACAGUGAGAAGCGAUACCGCGAGGUGGAGCAAAUCUAUAAACCUGGUCUCAGUUCGGAUUGUAGUCUGCAACUCGACUACAUGAAGCUGGAAUCACUAGUAAUCGUAGAUCAGCUAUGCUACGGUGAAUACGUUCCCGGGUCUUGUACUCACCGCCCGUCACACCAUGGGAGUUGAUUUCACCCGAAGCGGGGAAGCUAAACUGGCUACCCUCCACGGUGGAAUUAGCGACUGGGGUGAAGUCGUAACAAGGUA